AGAGUUUGAUCCUGGCUCAGAGUGAACGCUGGCGGCGUGCUUAACACAUGCAAGUCGAACGAUGAAGCUUUAGCUUGCUAGAGUGGAUUAGUGGCGCACGGGUGAGGAAUAUAUAGCUAAUGUGCCCCUUAGAGGGGGAUAACAGUUGGAAACGACUGCUAAUACCCCAUACUCCUUCUUACUAUAAGGUAAGUUGGGAAAGUUUUUUCGCUAAGGGAUCGGGCUAUACGGUAUCAGCUUGUUGGUGAGGUAAUGGCUCACCAAGGCUAUGACGCCUAUCUGGUCUGAGAGGAUGAUCAGACACACUGGAACUGAGACACGGUCCAGACUCCUACGGGAGGCAGCAGUGGGGAAUAUUACACAAUGGAGGAAACUCUGAUGUAGCAACGCCGCGUGGAGGAUGACACAUUUUCGGGUGCGUAAACUCCUUUUUAUAUGGGAAAAGAUAAUGACGGUACCAUAUGAAUUAAGCACCGGGCUAACUUCCGUGCA
Molecule: ribosomal RNA, 492 nt
Filed under: uncultured bacterium
Lineage: Bacteria
Description: bacterial SSU rRNA
Rfam family: Bacterial small subunit ribosomal RNA
Source: RNAcentral